CCUUUUUGCUGGUGAGGAUAGAGAGACGAUGCCCUCUUUGAAUCUUCGACGGCUACAAGUUAGUCUACCAGCAACCACACCUACGAAGGAGGAACAAAGAUUCAAUGAUUGCAACUGUUGAAUCAACAAAACUAGAUUAUGAAUGGAGGAACGACUGAACAAAACAUGUUGGCGCUGAUUCAUUGGCAUUGGCGAAGGGAUCCAGUUUGUGAGGUGCGGUGUCUUGGCGUUCCGACUGUCGACAUGCGAAACCUCUGUCGCGUUCUACAAGUUUGUUCAGACAAUUUUGAUUCAUCACUUAGGUUCUGUAAGUAGAUUAAGUUAACUGUUUAAGUGAAGCAUUUAUGGUUAAUGUUAGUUGAAAUGAAAGGAGAAGACUGGUGGUAAGAUUCUUCUUAGGACUGGUGGUGUGUUGUAUCUUUUUCGGGGUAAACAUUAUGAUCCGCACAACAGGUCGAAAUACCAUGUGAUUCUAUGGAAGCCUGCAACUCGGUUUACCUAAAGCUUAUACAAGAAUCACCGGAAGGGUUGACGAAAGAAGAAGCUGAUGAGUUGAGAAUGAAAGGGAAAAAACUUCCCCCGAUUUG
Long non-coding RNA from Helianthus annuus (common sunflower), 587 nucleotides. RefSeq lists it as uncharacterized. NCBI's taxonomy places the organism in Eukaryota, Viridiplantae, Streptophyta, Magnoliopsida, Asterales, Asteraceae. The record is from RefSeq and is a predicted model, not a curated record. The transcript has 2 exons.